UGGGGAAUAUUGCACAAUGGGCGCAAGCCUGAUGCAGCGACGCUGCGUGAGGGAAGAAGGCCUUCGGGUUGUAAACCUCUGUCAGGGGUUGGGAAAUCCGUGCCCCGAAAUGGGUACGGUUGACAAAGGCCCCAAAGGAAGCCAUGGCUAAGUCCGUGCCAGCAGCCGCGGUAACACGGACAUGGCAAGCGUUGUUCGGAAUUACUGGGCGUAAAGCGCACGCGGGCGGGCAAGCAAGUUGGGUGUGGAAUCGCUCGGCUCAACCGGGCGGGGUCGCCCAAAACUGCUCGACUAGAGGACGGUAGGGGAGAGUGGAACUCCUGGUGGAGCGGUGAUAUGCGUAGAUAUCAGGAGGAACGCCGGCGGCGAAAGCGACUCUCUGGGCCGUUGCUGACGCUGAGGUGCGAAAGCCAGGGGAGCAAACG
RNAcentral lists this ribosomal RNA (425 nucleotides) under uncultured prokaryote. RNAcentral's name for it is "bacterial SSU rRNA". It matches the Rfam family "Bacterial small subunit ribosomal RNA", at positions 355 to 774 of the family's 1533-position model. The record is from RNAcentral.